UGCAGUGCGUCUCGGACGCACGGCCCGGUUGGCGCAGGCGCGACCCGGGCGAUGGGCUGGUGGGCGGGGUGCAGGGGUUUAGAGCCCGGGGCAGGUAGGCCCAGCCCCUAGGUCACUCGCGGGAGCAGGUCUUGAGCGCGUUCCCUGCCUGCUCCGGGCUCUGCUCCACGACCGGGUCAGUGUCGGCCUCCCUCUUCCGCGGCGCUGCGCCCGCAGUCUGAGAGAUCCUUGAAUACUCCUAGACCAAAGGCUGGGCAGGUCCAGAAAAUUAUCAGAGCUUUUCUUGCAGACUCGGCUACAGCUUAGUGAGAAGAUGGAGGUGGCACAACUAAUGGAAAUAUCUGAAAUAUUUAAUGAAAAAGAAUAAACUGGGCUUCCCUGGUGGCGCAGUGGUUGAGAGUCCG
Molecule: long non-coding RNA, 404 nt
Organism: Physeter macrocephalus (sperm whale)
Lineage: Eukaryota; Metazoa; Chordata; Mammalia; Artiodactyla; Physeteridae
Exons: 4
Source: RefSeq, a predicted model, not a curated record